This 482-nucleotide ribosomal RNA is filed under the name uncultured bacterium. RNAcentral's name for it is "partial 16S ribosomal RNA". It matches the Rfam family "Bacterial small subunit ribosomal RNA", at positions 30 to 507 of the family's 1533-position model. The record is from RNAcentral.
AUUGAACGCUGGCGGCAUGCCUUACACAUGCAAGUCGAACGGUAACGGGCCUUCGGGUGCCGACGAGUGGCGCACGGGUGAGUAAUACAUCGGAACGUGCCCGAUCGUGGGGGAUAACGAGGCGAAAGCUUUGCUAAUACCGCAUACGAUCUACGGAUGAAAGCAGGGGACCGCAAGGCCUUGCGCGGACGGAGCGGCCGAUGGCAGAUUAGGUAGUUGGUGGGAUAAAAGCUUACCAAGCCGACGAUCUGUAGCUGGUCUGAGAGGAUGAUCAGCCACACUGGGACUGAGACACGGCCCAGACUCCUACGGGAGGCAGCAGUGGGGAAUUUUAGACAAAGGGCGCAAGCCUGAUCCAGCCAUGCCGCGUGCAGGAUGAAGGCCUUCGGGUUGUAAACUGCUUUUGUACGGGACGAAAAGCCUUCUUUUAAUACAGGAGGGUCAUGACGGUACCGUAAGAAUAAGCACCGGCUAACUACGUG